RNAcentral lists this ribosomal RNA (461 nucleotides) under uncultured bacterium. RNAcentral describes it as "partial 16S ribosomal RNA". It matches the Rfam family "Bacterial small subunit ribosomal RNA", at positions 338 to 795 of the family's 1533-position model. The record is from RNAcentral.
CCUACGGGUGGCAGCAGUGAGGAAUAUUGGUCAAUGGGCGGAAGCCUGAACCAGCCAAGUCGCGUGAGGGAUUAAGGCUCUAUGGGUCGUAAACCUCUUUUGUCAGGGAGCAAUGGCGUCCACGUGUGGGCGUAUGGAGAGUACCUGAAGAAAAAGCAUCGGCUAACUCCGUGCCAGCAGCCGCGAUAAUACGGAGGAUGCGAGCGUUAUCCGGAUUUAUUGGGUGUAAAGGGCGUGUAGGCGGGCAUGCAAGCCAGAAGUGAAAUCUGGGGGCUUAACCCCCAAACUGCUUUUGGAACUGCGUGUCUUGAGUGAUGGAGAGGCAGGCGGAAUUCCCGGUGUAGCGGUGAAAUGCGUAGAUAUUGGGAGGAACACCAGUGGCGAAGGCGGCCUGCUGGACAUUAACUGACGCUGAGGCGCGAAAGCGUGGGGAGCAAACAGGAUUAGAUACCCGAGUAGUC